Saccostrea echinata is the source of this 455-nucleotide long non-coding RNA. RefSeq lists it as uncharacterized. The record is from RefSeq and is a predicted model, not a curated record. The transcript has 3 exons. Lineage: Eukaryota; Metazoa; Mollusca; Bivalvia; Ostreida; Ostreidae.
CAAUCGCACUUGCAGUUUCAUCCCACCGUAACUAGUCAGCCCGUGGGCUGACUAAUAAACGAAUCCAGUGACACAGAUAUCGCAAGAUCACUUACAGAGGCAUGUCCAGAACAGAAACCCUGUCCUAGAAGGUGUUCAUUCGGAUACGUCAAGAACGCAAAUGGAUGCAAAACAUGCCAAUGCUGUCCUGUUUUACGAUGUCCAUUUUGCUGGCGAGGGUAUAUCUUGGGCAAAGAAGACAACCAGUGUUGGGUCUGCCAUUGUAAAUGGGGUCUCUGAAGAUUUUUAUAUAAGCUCAUGCAAUGGAUUACCAACGUUAACGUCGUCUGAAAAUUUUGGCUCAUAAACUUGACAAAUUAUAUUUCUCGUGAAUGUUGUUCAUUUAAAUUUUUAACAUCAUUUAGACAGUGUAUGUUUGAUUUAUGUUUAUUUGAAGCAAGCAUGAACAUAUCCAC